Molecule: ribosomal RNA, 1433 nt
Filed under: uncultured bacterium
Lineage: Bacteria
Description: bacterial SSU rRNA
Rfam family: Bacterial small subunit ribosomal RNA
Source: RNAcentral
AGAGUUUGAUCAUGGCUCAGAACGUACGCUGGCGGCACGCCUAACACAUGCAAGUCGAACGAAGUAGCAAUACUUAGUGGCAGACGGGUGAGUAACAUGUAGGUAUCUGCCCUUUGGCCUGGAAUAACACGAGGAAACUUGUGCUAAUACCGGAUAAGUCUUUACGGAGAAAGCUUUAUGCACCAUUGGAUGAGCCUGCACUUGAUUAGUUUGUUGGUAGGGUAAUGGCCUACCAAGACUGUGAUCAAUAGCUGAUUUGAGAGGAUGAUCAGCCACAUUGGGACUGAGACACGGCCCAAACUCCUACGGGAGGCAGCAGUGGGGAAUCUUGCACAAUGGAGGAAACUCUGAUGCAGCGAUGCCGCGUGAGUGAAGAAGGCCUUUGGGUUGUAAAGCUCUUUCGUCGGGGAAGAAAAUGACUGUACCCGAAUAAGAAGGUCCGGCUAACUUCGUGCCAGCAGCCGCGGUAAUACGAAGGGACCUAGCGUAGUUCGGAAUUACUGGGCUUAAAGAGUUCGUAGGUGGUUGAAAUAGUUGGUGGUGAAAUCCCAGAGCUUAACUCUGGAACUGCCAUCAAAACUUUUCAGCUAGAGUAUGAUAGAGGAAAGCAGAAUUUCUAGUGUAGAGGUGAAAUUCGUAGAUAUUAGAAAGAAUACCAAAUGCGAAGGCAGCUUUCUGGAUCAUUACUGACACUGAGGAACGAAAGCAUGGGUAGCGAAGAGGAUUAGAUACCCUCGUAGUCCAUGCCGUAAACGAUGUGUGUUAGACGUUGGAAAUUUAUUUUCAGUGUCGCAGGGAAACCGAUAAACACACCGCCUGGGGAGUACGACCGCAAGGUUAAAACUCAAAUGAAUUGACGGGGACCCGCACAAGUAGUGGAGCAUGUGGUUUAAUUCGAAGAUACGCGCAGAACCUUACCAACACUUGACAUGUUCGUCGCGACUCUAAGAGAUUAGAGUUUUCGGUUCGGCCGGACGAAACACAGGUGCUGCAUGGCUGUCGUCAGCUCGUGUCGUGAGAUGUUGGGUUAAGUCCCGCAACGAGCGCAACCCUCACUUUUAGUUGCCAUCAUUAAGUUGGGCACUCUGAAAGAACUGCCAGUGAUAAGCUGGAGGAAGGUGGGGAUGACGUCAAGUCCUCAUGGCCCUUACGUGUUGGGCUACACACGUGCUACAAUGGUAUCUACAACAGGAAGCAAGACUGCGAAGUUAAGCAAAUCCCUAAAAGAUACCUCAGUUCGGAUUGCACUCUGCAACUCGAGUGCAUGAAGCUGGAAUUACUAGUAAUCGUGGAUCAGCGUGCCACGGUGAAUGCGUUCCCGGGUCUUGUACACACCGCCCGUCACACCAUGGGAGUUGGUUCUACCUUAAGGCAAGGUUUUAAACCCUUGACCACGGUAUAGUCAGCGACUGGGGUGAAGUCGUAACAAGGUA